Molecule: unclassified non-coding RNA, 278 nt
Filed under: Colpoma sp.
Lineage: Eukaryota; Fungi; Ascomycota; Leotiomycetes; Rhytismatales; Rhytismataceae
Description: partial contains 5.8S ribosomal RNA, internal transcribed spacer 2, and large subunit ribosomal RNA
Rfam family: 5.8S ribosomal RNA (bases 1-71)
Source: RNAcentral
GUGAAUCAUCGAAUCUUUGAACGCACAUUGCACCUUCUGGUAUUCCGGGAGGUAUGCCUGUUCGAGCGUCAUUACAACCCUCACGCCUGGCGUGGUAUUGGACUCGCUGUCACAGCCUGUCUCAAAGUCAGUGGCGGCGUCGUUGAACCCCUAAGCGCAGUAAUGCUCGUCGCUUUUGGGCGCUCAGCGCAGUUUGCCAGGAACUCCCAAUUUUUCUAGGUUGACCUCGAAUCAGGUAGGGAUACCCGCUGAACUUAAGCAUAUCAAUAAGCGGAGGA